UAACACGUAGGAGGCGAGCGUUGUCCGGAAUCAUUGGGCGUAAAGAGCGCGCAGGCGGCUUGGCAAGUCGGGUGUGAAAUCCCGGGGCUCAACCCCGUGACUGCAUCCGAUACUGUCAGGCUAGAGGUAGGUAGGGGAGAUCGGAAUUCCUGGUGUAGCGGUGAAAUGCGCAGAUAUCAGGAGGAACACCGGUGGCGAAGGCGGAUCUCUGGGCCUUACCUGACGCUCAGGCGCGAAAGCUAGGGGAGCGAACAGGAUUAGAUACCCUGGUAGUCCUAGCCGUAAACGUUGGGUGCUAGGUGUGGGCGGAUAUCAACCCCGUCCGUGCCGAAGCUAACGCAUUAAGCACCCCGCCUGGGGAGUACGGCCGCAAGGCUA
RNAcentral lists this ribosomal RNA (378 nucleotides) under uncultured bacterium. RNAcentral describes it as "bacterial SSU rRNA". It matches the Rfam family "Bacterial small subunit ribosomal RNA", at positions 521 to 896 of the family's 1533-position model. The record is from RNAcentral.